Molecule: ribosomal RNA, 254 nt
Filed under: uncultured bacterium
Lineage: Bacteria
Description: partial 16S ribosomal RNA
Rfam family: Bacterial small subunit ribosomal RNA
Source: RNAcentral
UACAGAGGCCUCGAGCGUUUAGGCGGAAUCACUGGGCUUAAAGCGUGUGUAGGCGGAUUGGUAAGUACCUUGUGAAAUCCCACAGCUUAACUGUGGAACUGCUCGGUAUACUGCUGAUCUUGAGCCACUCAGGGGCUACCGGAACAAAUGGUGGAGCGGUGAAAUGCGUAGAUAUCAUUUGGAACGCCAAUGGUGAAAACAGGUAGCUGGGGGUGUGCUGACGCUGAGACACGAAAGCCAGGGGAGCAAACGGG